RNAcentral lists this ribosomal RNA (228 nucleotides) under uncultured bacterium. Its description in RNAcentral is "partial 16S ribosomal RNA". It matches the Rfam family "Bacterial small subunit ribosomal RNA", at positions 568 to 795 of the family's 1533-position model. The record is from RNAcentral.
UGCGUAGGCGGUUAUAUUAGUCAGUCGUUAAAACUCUGGGCUCAACCUAGAGAUCGCGAUUGAAACGGUAUAACUUGAAGAAGUCAGAGGUAAACAGAACUCUCGGUGUAGGGGUGAAAUCCGUUGAUAUCGAGGGGAAUACCAAAUGCGAAGGCAGUUUACUGGGACUUUCUUGACGCUGAGGCACGAAAGCGUGGGUAGCGAACAGGAUUAGAUACCCUGGUAGUC